RNAcentral lists this ribosomal RNA (492 nucleotides) under uncultured bacterium. RNAcentral's name for it is "partial 16S ribosomal RNA". It matches the Rfam family "Bacterial small subunit ribosomal RNA", at positions 29 to 507 of the family's 1533-position model. The record is from RNAcentral.
AGUGAACGCUGGCGGUAGGCCUAACACAUGCAAGUCGAACGGCAGCACAGUAAGAGCUUGCUCUUACGGGUGGCGAGUGGCGGACGGGUGAGGAAUACAUCGGAAUCUACUUUUUCGUGGGGGAUAACGUAGGGAAACCUACGCUAAUACCGCAUACGACCUACGGGUGAAAGCAGGGGAUCUUCGGACCUUGCGCGAUUGAAUGAGCCGAUGUCGGAUUAGCUAGUUGGCGGGGUAAAGGCCCACCAAGGCGACGAUCCGUAGCUGGUCUGAGAGGAUGAUCAGCCACACUGGAACUGAGACACGGUCCAGACUCCUACGGGAGGCAGCAGUGGGGAAUAUUGGUCAAUGGGCGCAAGCCUGAUCCAGCCAUACCGCGUGGGUGAAGAAGGCCUUCGGGUUGUAAAGCCCUUUUGUUGGGAAAGAAAAGCAGCAGGUUAAUACCCCGCUGUUCUGACGGUACCCAGAGAAUAAGCACCGGCUAACUUCGUG